UACGUAGGUGGCAAGCGUUAUCCGGAAUUAUUGGGCGUAAAGCGCGCGCAGGCGGUUCCUUAAGUCUGAUGUGAAAGCCCACGGCUCAACCGUGGAGGGUCAUUGGAAACUGGGUAACUUGAGUGCAGAAGAGAAGAGCGGAAUUCCACGUGUAGCGGUGAAAUGCGUAGAGAUGUGGAGGAACACCAGUGGCGAAGGCGGCUCUUUGGUCUGUAACUGACGCUGAGGCGCGAAAGCGUGGGGAGCAAACAGG
This 253-nucleotide ribosomal RNA is filed under the name uncultured bacterium. RNAcentral's name for it is "partial 16S ribosomal RNA". It matches the Rfam family "Bacterial small subunit ribosomal RNA", at positions 524 to 776 of the family's 1533-position model. The record is from RNAcentral.